Homo sapiens (human) is the source of this 2000-nucleotide long non-coding RNA. RefSeq lists it as uncharacterized. The transcript has 2 exons. The record is from RefSeq and is a predicted model, not a curated record. Lineage: Eukaryota; Metazoa; Chordata; Mammalia; Primates; Hominidae.
GAUGGUUAAUUUUGUUAUUUUUAAAUUAAUAAGUGAAGCAGUAAUGAACAUUCUUGUUUAAAUCUUUUCAUGGAUAAAUGUUUUCAUUUCUUGUAGGUAAAUAUCUAAGUGUGGAAUUGCUGGAUUAUGAGCAAGAAGAAGCUGGAAAACUGAAAAUCAAUGACUCUUAUUGGACACAUCAGAGAACUGAGGUUAUAGGGCAACCCUUCUCCCCAAAAUCUGGGAGACAGGUUCAUCCAGAGAAACAUAGCCAAGAGCUUCUUACCUGAAGCAGAAGGUACUCAAGCCAUAAAGUAGACAGAACCUUUACACAGUAAAUUUGAUAAAUUUUGUUGGAGGCUGAGUAUGGACUUGAAUGAGAAACUCCUGGGAAUCACAGUCUCAGGUGGCCCCUGCACUUUCACGGACUGUAUUUUCAGGGACCUCAGCAGGUUCUCACAGUGAAGGGCGAAGGAAGAUCCCCUGGUAGCUCUGGAAGAGAAGAGGAAGAGUGAGAAAUAUACCCAGAAAUAUCCCAAUGGGAAAUAUACCCAGAGACCUCUCCCUAACAAUGGCCUAUGCUCCAUGGGGAAAGAAUCUUUCAGAACUUUAUCCCAAUUGGGGGAAGGAUAUUCUUCCCACUGAAGCUCCCUCCAGUCUUCCUGUCUCAUGUAAGGAGGAAAGACAUAGUCAACAAGGGUCAAGGCUUUAAGAAAAUAUAUUGGGAUUGGAGCAGUCAGGGAUAGGAGUGGAGGCAAGAGAGGGAAAAAGGUCUUUACCACUGGAGAAAAACUUGUAAAAGACACAGGCCCAAUAAAACACAGAGAUUUAAUUAGAAGAGUAUAGAAUGCUCCUUAUCCGCCAUGGCUUACCACCACACCAGCGGGGCUCCAGUAUUAUAACAGUGGAUUACAGCUGAAAGAGCUGUACAACACAACUCUUUUUGAGGAGGAAUACCUAGGGAAGCUGAAAGUCAAAAAGGGAGACGAAAACAAAGAUGCCAGAGGAAUUUGAAGCUUCUGGCAUCUAUAGCUACAUCAAACAUUAAAAAGUCUAAUUUCUAGCUAGAUUACCAUAAACUCUAAAAUUAACAAACUAUUUACCUGAGUUCUUAUUAUCUAAUACAGCAUGCCCAGCUUUUCUCAACAAAUUGUGGAAGAGAAUGGGGAGAAUUAUUAUGCCAAGAAAAAAUGCUGCAUUUAAGGGGUCUUCCAUACCUCAGUCCAUCCUGCCUUCCUUUACCAUUGCCAAUAGAUCAGCUGGCCUCUUCUUACCUGAUACACUUAUCAAGUUUAUGGCACGUCUUCUCAUCUGCCUGCCUAUAUCUAGACAUAGAACUUACCCUAGAGGAUGUUGUCACUUUCUGCUGACCCAUGAAAGGUUUUGAUCUAUUAAAAAUUAGUUUGUCAAGGUUUUCUUUUGUCCACCACUUUUCUAUUGUCUCAUAUGUAAGUAUAAUUUUAUAUUAUGACUUUUCUUGUGUUACUGUAAGAAUGAAGGUCUUCUGAGUCUUUUCACAUCUUAACUCUUGCCCCAUUUAUUUAUUUUUUUACUGUGCUUUCUAUUUCCCCCCAAGAUUCUUAUCUCAGUGUUUUUUUGUCAGUUUGUUAAUAUCAUCCCAAACUUUUAAUUGUUUUUCUUAUUUGAUUAUUUGCUCAGAUGUUCUUGGCUUGAACUAUUCCUCAUUUUCCUUAAACCUUGUUUUAACAGGCCAAAAAGAAGGUGUAUGGCUUUUACUGUGACACACAUAACUUAGUCAACACUUGCCUUUACUAAGAAGGAGUCUUUUUUAAACCAAUACAUAAUUAUAGAAAUAGAAUAGAUGGUUGAUUCAAGAAUCUGCUGAUUUACCUUUCAUGCAGUAGGCCACAUGUACACUCACUCUAUUCUCACUCUCACUCUCUCUCUUUCUCUAAUUGUCAAUCCAAGUCACAGUGGUUCAAAGGACUUUCAUAUAAUAAUUAUUUUAUGUCAAAAUAACCACUACUUAUCAGAAAAUAAAAAUUCUUUAUCUCUUCUGC